This 253-nucleotide ribosomal RNA is filed under the name uncultured bacterium. RNAcentral describes it as "partial 16S ribosomal RNA". It matches the Rfam family "Bacterial small subunit ribosomal RNA", at positions 524 to 776 of the family's 1533-position model. The record is from RNAcentral.
UACGAGGGGUGCAAGCGUUAUUCGGAAUUAUUGGGCGUAAAGGGUGCGUAGACGGUAUGUUAAGUCAACUGUUAAAUCCUCCGGCCUAACCGGAGAUCAGCGGUAGAUACUGGCAUACUAGAGGGCGGAAGAGAGGAGUGGAAUUCUCGGAGUAGCGGUAAAAUGCGUAGAUCUCGAGAGGAACACCAAUGGCGAAGGCAGCUCCUUGGUCCGCUUCUGACGUUGAGGCACGAAAGCGUGGGUAGCAAACAGG